UGAGCCUGGUGUGAUGUUGCCCGUCUGGUUGUCCACUCGGUCACCCUCCUCCAUGGCUGCUGCUGCUGCACUUCUGGUAUGGAUCAGGUUGUGGAGGACGCUUGCAGCG
Molecule: long non-coding RNA, 109 nt
Organism: Amblyraja radiata (thorny skate)
Lineage: Eukaryota; Metazoa; Chordata; Chondrichthyes; Rajiformes; Rajidae
Exons: 3
Source: RefSeq, a predicted model, not a curated record